CGCGGGUUACGGGGCAUGCGUAAUAGCAUUUUCCCCUCCUCACGCAAAAAAAAAAGAGUGAUUGAUGUAGCCAUCGCAAAGUUCAUGGGCAUCACCACCAGCACGUCAUACUAAAGAGAGGAACAGAGUCCUACGACCGUACACGGAACGCCCUGCACCGUACCGAGAGGUAUCCAUGACCAUAUCGAAGACAUCGCACAACAUCUGCAAGGAUAGGACAACAAUCGGCUGACGCUUUACCACGUUAAGAUCUAUAAUGUUAUCUCUGGUAAGGGUGUAUUGUAGCGGCACUCGACAACAAAUACCGCUACUCGACACUAACUAAGCAACCAACUCUAGGUUUCGAACGUUCGGGACCCGGGUUCGAUUCCCGGCGCCCGUGAUCCUAUUUUUCUUCCACGCAUCAAAAUGGAAGAAUAAUUAGCAUUAUCCCAGCAGCGACAUCUACAGCCGGCAAUUACUACUAUCACGGACAACAUAUACCACCUCUACAAUACUAAUUAAGAAUAAUAUUAAAAUAACCAUUGAUGUUGAUGAUGACCUCUAUAAUUCCACCUUAAUCAUUUCAGAAAC
RNAcentral lists this unclassified non-coding RNA (573 nucleotides) under Bombus terrestris (buff-tailed bumblebee). RNAcentral's name for it is "misc RNA ENSBTSG00005019932.1". Lineage: Eukaryota; Metazoa; Arthropoda; Insecta; Hymenoptera; Apidae. The record is from RNAcentral.